This 504-nucleotide ribosomal RNA is filed under the name Ganoderma hoehnelianum. Its description in RNAcentral is "partial small subunit ribosomal RNA". It matches the Rfam family "Bacterial small subunit ribosomal RNA", at positions 406 to 948 of the family's 1533-position model. The record is from RNAcentral. Lineage: Eukaryota; Fungi; Basidiomycota; Agaricomycetes; Polyporales; Polyporaceae.
UCAUAGAAUUUUUUAAAAUUCAUGAUGUCGUAAGGGAAAAUAAUGAUAAUACCUUACUAUGAGUGUCGUCCAAAUCUGGUGCCAGAAGACUCGGUAAGACCAGAGACGCAAACGUUAAUCAUCAUAAACAGGCGUAAAGGGUUUGUAGGCAGCUUUUAUAGGAUUAUUAUAAAAAGGUAAUCUAAAUUAAAAGCUAGAAUCAAAAAGAGGUUAUAGUGUAUAACGCCUAGAGGAGGGCUGAUAUCCGUAGAUCCUAGGCAGAAUACUCAGGGCGAAGGCCACUCUCCAUUAAUGAUUGACGCUGAGAAACGAAGGUUAGGGUAGGAAAUAGGAUUAGAUACCCCGGUACUCCUUUCUGUAAACGAUGAAUGGUAGUCAUUAGUAAAAAAAAUAACUAGAGGCGAAGUUAACACAAUAACCAUUCCGCCUUGUGAGUACUACUGCAAAGUAGAAAACAAAAAAAUUAGUCGGUCUCGAAGCAAACGGAGUGAAGCAUGUUAUUUA